Molecule: ribosomal RNA, 502 nt
Filed under: uncultured bacterium
Lineage: Bacteria
Description: bacterial SSU rRNA
Rfam family: Bacterial small subunit ribosomal RNA
Source: RNAcentral
AACGAACGCUGGCGGCGCGCCUAAUACAUGCAAGUCGAGCGAGAAGGUGUAGCAAUACACUUGUAAAGCGGCGAACGGGUGAGGAAUGCAUGGGUAACCUACCCUCGAGUGGGGAAUAACUAGCCGAAAGGUUAGCUAAUACCGCAUACGUUUCCGGAACUUCGGUUUCGGAAAGAAAGCAAUACCGUGGGUAUUGCGCUCCUGGAUGGGCUCAUGUCCUAUCAGCUUGUUGGUGAGGUAACGGCUCACCAAGGCUUCGACGGGUAGCUGGUCUGAGAGGACGAUCAGCCACACUGGCACUGCGACACGGGCCAGACUCCUACGGGAGGCAGCAGUAAGGAAUAUUGCGCAAUGGACGAAAGUCUGACGCAGCGACGCCGCGUGGGGGGAUGAAGGUCUUCGGAUUGUAAACCCCUUUCGGGAGGAAGAUGGAGUGGGUAACCACUUGGACGGUACCUCCAGAAGCAGCCACGGCUAACUUCGUGCCAGCAGCCGCGGUAAU